UAUUUCCAUAAUUUAUAUAAUUUUUACAAAUGGACUCAACAUGGAUGUGUCUGUCUUUUAGCAGGUAAUCAUUUUUGGAGAACAAAUUCUGGUUCCCCAAGUUGGCAUGAUGCCUCCAAACCCUGCGGGUGUGCUUCCCAGAUGUGAGACUGUGAACAACCCAAAGGAUCCUGAGAGAGAGAGUAUGGGUACAGAAUUUCUACAGUCCAACCCGCCUUCACAAUACAACUAUGCCUUCCCCUGAAAAACAGACCUCACAUGGUUAUUUUUAGUGUUGGCCAAUGUUUCUUCUACACAAAAUCAACUUAAAUUCUAGGCCUGUUUUAACAAUUAAAUAAAUGUAGGUUGUAAUGUAGACCUGUUUUUAAUACAUUUAAUUUAAUAUAUUUAAUCCAUUAUUUUUAAUUCAUUGCGCGGCCCGCGAGCCACAGAUUGGCCCUGGUGGGAGAAUGUGUGGCCCUUGAUGUGUCCACCAUUGCAUUAAGGGUUGCAUGGUUUUGUCUGGUGGUAUCCCUCAAACUGAUGUUUUAUCAACCAAAGUGUGUCUAUACCUACAUUUCCUACUAAACAAAAUCAAGUUUUAUUCUAGGCCUGUGAUGUCUAUUAAAUUCAUUUAACUUAAAACCUAGGCCUGUUUCCAAAUACAUGUAAUCAUUUUCUUGUCUAGGCCUAUGCUUCCUAUUAACCAAAAUUGUGUGUAGAUUUACAGCAGUUUUUUCUAUUAAACAAAAUCAUUUUAUCUAUUCUUCUAGAAUCAGUGUAUCUUGAAUUCACUCCAGGAUUCAAUGUUUCGUAUCUGCUGUGUAGUUUGUUGUGGUGUUUGUGGAGUAAUACUGGAGUGGUGGUGUGAUUUUUAAAUAUUUAAAAUAAAAACGUUGGGCCACUAAAUAAAGUACAGUGUUCUGGUUGAUGUUAAGAGAUAUAAGAGGUGAACAUUAUUGAGGCAAGAAUAUUUGUACUGUAGUACUGUAGUCUUGACAAAUCCCAAUGGAAAAACAGUCAAUGUAUUACUAUUACUAACAGUCAAUAUAUUACCUAAGUACGACAUCACUCAAUACUAUUAAUAUUAUUAAGAAUAUGUCAACUUUAUAUAAGGACAAUUUUACUUUGCAGAGUAUACAAACUUAGCUGUACAGAAAUUACAUUUAUGUUAGUGGGUGCCAAGAAAACCUGAAAAUGUAAGCCUCCAACCAGCC
Molecule: long non-coding RNA, 1196 nt
Organism: Esox lucius (northern pike)
Lineage: Eukaryota; Metazoa; Chordata; Actinopteri; Esociformes; Esocidae
Source: Ensembl